Molecule: ribosomal RNA, 749 nt
Filed under: uncultured Suillus
Lineage: Eukaryota; Fungi; Basidiomycota; Agaricomycetes; Boletales; Suillaceae
Description: eukaryotic LSU rRNA
Rfam family: 5.8S ribosomal RNA (bases 187-341)
Source: RNAcentral
GAGGACGAGGACUGUCGCUGGCCUUCAACCGAGGCAUGUGCACGCUCUCUUCUGGACUUUCGCCGUAUGGGCGCGGGGCGACCCGCGUCUUCAUAUACCUCUUCGUGUAGAAAGUCUUCGAAUGUUUUUACCAUCAUCGAGUCGCGACUUCUAGGAGACGCGAUUCUUUGAGACAAAAGUUAUCACAACUUUCAGCAAUGGAUCUCUUGGCUCUCGCAUCGAUGAAGAACGCAGCGAAUCGCGAUAUGUAAUGUGAAUUGCAGAUCUACAGUGAAUCAUCGAAUCUUUGAACGCACCUUGCGCUCCUCGGUGUUCCGAGGAGCAUGCCUGUUUGAGCGUCAGUAAAUUCUCAACCCCUCUCGAUUUGCUUCGAGUGGGGCUUGGAUAGUGGGGGCUGCCGGAGACCUGAAAUUCAUUUCGGGACUCGGGCUCCUCUGAAAUGCAUCGGCUUGCGGUCGACUUUCGACUUUGCGCGACAAAGCUUUCGGCGUGAUAAUGAUCGCCGUUCGCUGAAGCGCAUCAAUGAACGGUCCCGUGCCUCUAAUCAGUCGACGCCUUCGGGGCGUCUUCCUUAUAGACGUUUGACCUCAAAUCAGGUAGGACUACCCGCUGAACUUAAGCAUAUCAAUAAGCGGAGGAAAAGAAACUAACAAGGAUUCCCCUAGUAACUGCGAGUGAACCGGGAAAAGCUCAAAUUUUGAAUCUGGCGGUCUUUACGGUCGUCCGAGUUGUAAUCUAGAGAAGCGUCU